GCUUACGGCCAUACCACUCUGAGCACGCCCGAGUCUCUCGGAAGCCAAGCAGGUCGGGCUGGUUAGUACUUGGACGGAGACCGCCUGGGAAUACCAGGUGCUGUAAGCU
RNAcentral lists this ribosomal RNA (109 nucleotides) under Seriola dumerili (greater amberjack). Lineage: Eukaryota; Metazoa; Chordata; Actinopteri; Carangiformes; Carangidae. The record is from RNAcentral.